Molecule: ribosomal RNA, 503 nt
Filed under: uncultured bacterium
Lineage: Bacteria
Description: partial 16S ribosomal RNA
Rfam family: Bacterial small subunit ribosomal RNA
Source: RNAcentral
AUUGAACGCUGGCGGCCGGCUUAACACAUGCAAGUCGAGCGGGGUGAUGGUGCUUGCACUAUCACUUAGCGGCGGACGGGUGAGUAAUGCUUAGGAAUCUGCCUAUCAGUGGGGGACAACAUCUCGAAAGGGAUGCUCAUACCGCAUAGGUCCUACGGGAGAAAGCAGGGGAUCACUUGUUACCUUGCGCUAAUAGAUGAGCCUAAGUCUGAUUAGCUAGUUGGUGGGGUAACGGCCUACCAAGGCGACGAUCUGUAGCGGGUCUGGGAGGAUGAUCCACCACAAGGGAACUAAGAAGCGGCGCGGAGCCCUACUGGCGGGAGAAGUUGGGAAGAUUGGACAAUGGGGGGAACACUUAUCCAGCCAUGCCGCGUUUGUGGAGAAGGCCGUAUGUUUGUAAAGCACUUUAAGCGAGGAGGAGGCUCUUUUGGUGAAUACCCAGAAUGAGUAGACGUUACGCGCAGAAUAAGCACCGGCUAACGCUGUGCCACCAGCCGCCGUAA